This 253-nucleotide unclassified non-coding RNA is filed under the name uncultured Bacteroidota bacterium. RNAcentral's name for it is "uncultured Bacteroidetes bacterium contains 16S-23S intergenic spacer region". It matches the Rfam family "Bacterial small subunit ribosomal RNA", at positions 524 to 776 of the family's 1533-position model. Lineage: Bacteria; Pseudomonadati; Bacteroidota. The record is from RNAcentral.
UACGGAGGGUCCAAGCGUUGUCCGGAAUUAUUGGGUGUAAAGGGUGUGUAGGCGGGACUGUAAGUCAGGGGUGAAAGCCUACGGCGUAACCGUAGAAUUGCCUUUGAUACUGCAGUCCUUGAGUCCCGGAGAGGCUACUAGAAUUCGUGGUGUAGCGGUGAAAUGCGUAGAUAUCACGAGGAAUACCAAAAGCGUAGGCGGGUAGCUGGACGGGCACUGACGCUGAGGCACGAAAGCGUGGGGAGCAAACAGG